AGAGUUGAUCCUGGCUCAGGACGAACGCUGGCGGCGUGCCUAACACAUGCAAGUCGAGCGAGGAGAUCCUCGGGAUGAUCCUAGCGGCGGACGGGUGAGUAACACGUGGGCAACCUGCCUCAUAGAGAGGAAUAGCCUUCCGAAAGGGAGAUUAAUACCUCAUAACAUUGCAGUUUCGCAUGGAACAGCAAUUAAAGGAGUAAUCCGCUAUGAGAUGGGCCCGCGGCGCAUUAGCUAGUUGGUGAGGUAACGGCUCACCAAGGCGACGAUGCGUAGCCGACCUGAGAGGGUGAUCGGCCACAUUGGGACUGAGACACGGCCCAGACUCCUACGGGAGGCAGCAGUGGGGAAUAUUGCACAAUGGGGGAAACCCUGAUGCAGCCAACGCCGCGUGAGUGAUGACGGCCUUCGGGUUGUAAAGCUCUGUCUUCAGGGACGAUAAUGACGGUACCUGAGGAGGAAGCCACGGCUAACUACGUGCCAGCAGCAGC
This 491-nucleotide ribosomal RNA is filed under the name uncultured bacterium. RNAcentral's name for it is "bacterial SSU rRNA". It matches the Rfam family "Bacterial small subunit ribosomal RNA", at positions 8 to 518 of the family's 1533-position model. The record is from RNAcentral.